UUUUUAAUGUAUUUGUUUAUAUUUAUUUAUGUGAUGUCAUUAAAUUCUGGCUUACCCGUGUAGCUGAGCAUUGUUUGGAGCUGACUGGAUCCUAAUAUGGUCUGUGCAUGCUGUGUGACUGUUCCAGUGAGCUUAAACUUUCCUGCUAAACAGACUGAUACCUGCACAUGCUCUGCUCUGUUUGUGGGGAGGGACUCCAAAAAACAUCACUUUUUGUUGCUGUAUAGCUCUGAAAACUGAUUUCCUUCUUGAAUCCAAUUUCUAUCAUGAGAUCUAUUUAUAGACCAUAAAUCAGGAUUUUGCUAAAAGAUCUUGCCCUUUGUUAGCAACACAACUUGUUUGGGCAGUAGGGAUGAAGGAGAAAUGGGAUGCUUGUUUCUUUUUCACAGUGGUUUUGCCUAUGUUCAUGUUGGGACAAUUCUAAGGUAUUUCAGGUGUUAGCAAAGCUGUGCAGUUGAUUCCAAGCUUCAGUUUUGAUAUUUCUCCUGUUUUGGAAGUAGAGACCAAAGGCCAGGUUCCUCUGUUACCCCUUGGCAGUCACGAGUCCCAGUGGUGAGGGACCAGGCCUUAAAUGCUCCCACUCCUAGAGACAAUGCUUUCUCCAGUUUAACUCCACCAGGUACCAGAUUUCUGUAACAGGAGGUGCAGAUAAACCUCCACUGUUUUGAAAUAGCAGGUGGGUGGGCACUGUCCAUCACUAUUUCCCUGGGAGCGUGAGGUGUGGGGCAGGUGAGCUCAGGAGCUGUGCCUGCAGCACAGGGCUGAGUUUGAGGAGAGCUCCUGCAGCAGUUUUGGCAUAUGAACCUCCUGGCAUCACCUCCUCCCCACCAACAAUCCUUGUCCUCCACCAGCCCUUAGCCUGGGCUGCCACAGCUGCUCUGACACAGCCAGGAAGUGGUGCACAGGGAGAAAUGGAGAAAACCCAAAACCAGAAGAGCAGAGAGGUCCCUGUGGCCAGGCCAGGUCUCCAGCCUCCCUCACGGUGUGAGCUCCCAAGCAGAUGUAGCCCAGCAGAGGUGAGCAGGGGCUGGGUGUGUGGCUGGGGAUGCACCACCAGCAGAGACCCCGUGCACAGAGCCGGGCUGGUCUGCUGUGGAGCCAGGGCCACCAGCCCAGGGAAGUGAGUGUGCUGAGAAAUCCCACAGAACAGCUGGGAUGAGGGCACAUAAAUAAAUCCUGCUCCCCCCAGAUCCAGAUGUACCUGGAAGAGGUCAACUUGGCCAACUGAGGGUAUUGCCAGGAGCAGCCAAGGAAUGUUUCUGACCCCCGUGUGGCACUCCUGCCUCUCAAGUGAUGCACUCCCAGUCAGAGGCAAUGUGCCUUUUCCUCACCCCCAGCAAGGCCAGGCCAGGCACUGCCCGGUCUUGCACCACUUUGGCUGGCAAGUGUGAAGCACCAGCACAAGCUCUGUAACUUCAGAGAGGCCAGCAAGGCUCAGUCUGAACACCCCUGCCUGUGCCCAGGGUGACUCCGUGUUAACUGGCUGUGAUCGCUUGCUUUCCAAAUGAAUCCCAUCCGUGGGUGGCUGUUUAUACAGGUUUCGCUUGCCUCCUGUGAAGACAGAUGUUGUUACAGCUUCCACUGCCAUCACAGUGGGUUAGACAUGAGCUUCCCUGGUGAAUAACACACAAGUUGGAAAA
Long non-coding RNA from Poecile atricapillus (Black-capped chickadee), 1640 nucleotides. RefSeq lists it as uncharacterized. The record is from RefSeq and is a predicted model, not a curated record. NCBI's taxonomy places the organism in Eukaryota, Metazoa, Chordata, Aves, Passeriformes, Paridae. The transcript is spliced from 2 exons.